Long non-coding RNA from Pipistrellus kuhlii (Kuhl's pipistrelle), 1288 nucleotides. RefSeq lists it as uncharacterized. The transcript has 2 exons. NCBI's taxonomy places the organism in Eukaryota, Metazoa, Chordata, Mammalia, Chiroptera, Vespertilionidae. The record is from RefSeq and is a predicted model, not a curated record.
AGGGCUGGUUGAGGCCAAGGGUGAAGGAUGGAAGCCAUCAUUUAUCAAGUACCUGCUGCACUUCAGGGCAGUGCUUGGGGCUAUACCAUACUUCCUUUGAUUUAUUUCUCAACACAGUCCUGGGAGAUGACUGUCUCCAUUUGACUGGUGAGAAAACUGAGCACAAACAACACCCAUUGCCAGACAUUGAAUCAAAAAAACUGUAGGCAAUCAUCCAGUCCAGCCCCUUUCUCAAAAAGAGGCAGAAACUAGAUGAGCAAAAGGGGGAGACAGUUGUCCAAGGUCACGCAACUCAAGGUCACAGAAGGCCUUCGGAAUACAUCCCCAGACAUAUACAUUUAUAAAACCAACUAUUCCACAGCGAAUCCAGUGGAUUCAUGGGCUGCUACAGAAAGUGUAGCCUGAAAUUUCCCCCAGAAAAAACAAAGGGCAGUUAGGGGCAUGCUAAAAGAAAACGAGAGUGACCAUUCUGAAGGUGGGCUUGUUAAAGCCCAAAAUUGAGUGAGAAAAUGAUGAGAGAAUAUGAACAGGGCAAAGGAGGCAGCUGGGACUAAAGAGCACUGUCUCCCUGACAACCGAUAUUUCUUUGCUUCUUUAUCCAUAUGCUGGGAGAGAGACAAAGUGAUUGAGUGAAAUAAAGGCAGGGAAGUGGGAAAUGGGUGACUGGUGGAGCAGGUCAGGCAAUUUAAUGGCUUCUUCUUUCUCAAUCUCCAGGGAGAAAAAUCCAAGUUGCAAAAAGAUGAGAGAGUGUGGAAAGAGAUGGCUCCUGGAGCUCUUUGAAAAUUUUCAGAGAAGGGUCUUCCUUAAAGUCCAUGAGUGAGGGGACUUGGGAGGUCAGAGGGCUGGAAGCUGAUACCUUCCCUGUAAGCUAGAGAUGAAGGUCCUUCUUUUUCUACUGUUUGCUGAUGCUGAAUGCUGGCUCCCUAAGAUAUUACUAAAGCAACCUGUUGAUAAGAAAAAACUAAGGUUUUUCUUACUGCAGUAUGGGAAAGUGCUAUUUCAAUUGAGUCUUAGCAGUGUCCAGGAGGGAGUCUGACAAAGUCAAGAUACUUACUGGGGUUUUGAAGAAUAGUUUAAAAUGAGUCUUCCAACAAGGGGGAUGGAGAGGCAGUGCUUGGUUAGGACUGGGUAAGGUCCAUGACAAUACUUUGGUAUUAAUGGGCAUAGCAAGGUAAGAAUUUUAAGACAAAGGGUUAAAGAAUAUUGGUGUGUAUACUGUCAUUUGAUGUUUUCUAUUAAAGAGUUGAUAUACCAGGAAGUCUGAAUAAACAAUAAAAUUUGCAACUUU